RNAcentral lists this unclassified non-coding RNA (23 nucleotides) under Mus musculus (house mouse). Its description in RNAcentral is "oocyte_clustered_small_RNA11303". Lineage: Eukaryota; Metazoa; Chordata; Mammalia; Rodentia; Muridae. The record is from RNAcentral.
UGUAUUCCACUGCUGCUGCUGUC